GACGAGCCACACGAACGUUAUUCGGAAUUACUGGGCUUAAAGGGUGCGUAGGCGGUGCGGAAAGUUGGGUGUGAAAUCCCUCGGCUCAACCGAGGAACUGCGCCCAAAACUACCGUACUUGAGGAAGAUAGAGGUGGGCGGAACUUACAGUGGAGCGGUGAAAUGCGUUGAUAUUGUAAGGAACACCCGUGGCGAAAGCGGCUCACUGGGUCUUUUCUGACGCUGAGGUACGAAAGCUAGGGGAGCGAACGGG
Molecule: ribosomal RNA, 253 nt
Filed under: uncultured bacterium
Lineage: Bacteria
Description: partial 16S ribosomal RNA
Rfam family: Bacterial small subunit ribosomal RNA
Source: RNAcentral